RNAcentral lists this ribosomal RNA (917 nucleotides) under Pseudomonas sp. EA_R_40. RNAcentral describes it as "bacterial SSU rRNA". It matches the Rfam family "Bacterial small subunit ribosomal RNA", at positions 37 to 951 of the family's 1533-position model. Lineage: Bacteria; Pseudomonadati; Pseudomonadota; Gammaproteobacteria; Pseudomonadales; Pseudomonadaceae. The record is from RNAcentral.
UGGCGGCAGGCCUACACAUGCAAGUCGAGCGGUAGAGAGGUGCUUGCACCUCUUGAGAGCGGCGGACGGGUGAGUAAUGCCUAGGAAUCUGCCUGGUAGUGGGGGAUAACGCUCGGAAACGGACGCUAAUACCGCAUACGUCCUACGGGAGAAAGCAGGGGACCUUCGGGCCUUGCGCUAUCAGAUGAGCCUAGGUCGGAUUAGCUAGUUGGUGAGGUAAUGGCUCACCAAGGCGACGAUCCGUAACUGGUCUGAGAGGAUGAUCAGUCACACUGGAACUGAGACACGGUCCAGACUCCUACGGGAGGCAGCAGUGGGGAAUAUUGGACAAUGGGCGAAAGCCUGAUCCAGCCAUGCCGCGUGUGUGAAGAAGGUCUUCGGAUUGUAAAGCACUUUAAGUUGGGAGGAAGGGCAUUAACCUAAUACGUUAGUGUUUUGACGUUACCGACAGAAUAAGCACCGGCUAACUCUGUGCCAGCAGCCGCGGUAAUACAGAGGGUGCAAGCGUUAAUCGGAAUUACUGGGCGUAAAGCGCGCGUAGGUGGUUCGUUAAGUUGGAUGUGAAAUCCCCGGGCUCAACCUGGGAACUGCAUUCAAAACUGUCGAGCUAGAGUAUGGUAGAGGGUGGUGGAAUUUCCUGUGUAGCGGUGAAAUGCGUAGAUAUAGGAAGGAACACCAGUGGCGAAGGCGACCACCUGGACUGAUACUGACACUGAGGUGCGAAAGCGUGGGGAGCAAACAGGAUUAGAUACCCUGGUAGUCCACGCCGUAAACGAUGUCAACUAGCCGUUGGGAGCCUUGAGCUCUUAGUGGCGCAGCUAACGCAUUAAGUUGACCGCCUGGGGAGUACGGCCGCAAGGUUAAAACUCAAUGAAUUGACGGGGGCCCGCACAAGCGGUGGACCAUGUGGUUUAAUU